GGGGCUGUGGCCAAGCCAGGAAUGGCGACUGACUCCAGAGGUUUGCCGACGACGACACUCCAGACUGGUAUACCGAGCGUUCGACUGGCCCUCGUUCGCGAUGACGACCCUCUGGAGUGCCGAGGCGUACCGGGGAUAUCAGUCGAUCGGGGGUUCAAAUCCCUCCGGCCCCA
Molecule: transfer RNA, 173 nt
Filed under: Halodesulfurarchaeum formicicum
Lineage: Archaea; Methanobacteriati; Methanobacteriota; Halobacteria; Halobacteriales; Halobacteriaceae
Rfam family: tRNA
About the family: Transfer RNA (tRNA) molecules are approximately 80 nucleotides in length. Their secondary structure includes four short double-helical elements and three loops (D, anti-codon, and T loops).
Source: Rfam by way of RNAcentral